This 859-nucleotide ribosomal RNA is filed under the name Stegophorus macronectes. RNAcentral describes it as "SSU rRNA". It matches the Rfam family "Eukaryotic small subunit ribosomal RNA", at positions 139 to 1004 of the family's 1831-position model. The record is from RNAcentral. Lineage: Eukaryota; Metazoa; Nematoda; Chromadorea; Rhabditida; Acuariidae.
GUGGAUAACUGUGGUAAUUCUAGAGCUAAUACAUGCACCAAAGCUCCGACUUUAUGGAAGAGCGCAUCUAUUAGAUUAAAACCAAUCGGGCCUAGCCCGUCAAUUGGUGACUCUGAAUAGCUAUGGCUGAUCGCAUGGUCUCGUACCGGCGACGUGUCUAUCAAGUGUCUGCCUUAUCAACUUUCGAUGGUAGUUUAUGUGCCUACCAUGGUUGUAACGGGUAACGGAGAAUAAGGGUUCGACUCCGGAGAGGGAGCCUGAGAAACGGCUACCACAUCCAAGGAAGGCAGCAGGCGCGCAAAUUACCCACUCUCGGCAUGAGGAGGUAGUGACGAAAAAUAACGAGACCGUUCUCUUCGAGGCCGGUUAUCGGAAUGGGUACAAUUUAAACCAGUUAACGAGGAUCUAUGAGAGGGCAAGUCUGGUGCCAGCAGCCGCGGUAAUUCCAGCUCUCAAAGUGUAUAUCGUCAUUGCUGCGGUUAAAAAGCUCGUAGUUGGAUCUGCGCCUCAGGACCCGGUCCGUCCUUUGGACGAGAACUGGGAUCCUAGGCUAGUACUGUCGGUUUUCCCUGUGUUGCCUUGAUCGGUCGCGCAGGGUGGCCGGCGAGUUUACCUUGAAAAAAUUAGAGUGCUCAACGCGGGCUGACGCCUGAAUACUCGUGCAUGGAAUAAUGAAAUAGGAUCUCGGUUCUAUUUUGUUGGUUUUCUGAUCUGAGAUAAUGGUUAAGAGGGACGGACGGGGGCAUUCGUAUCGCUGCGUGAGAGGUGAAAUUCUUGGACCGUAGCGAGACGCCCGACUGCGAAAGCAUUUGCCAAGAAUGUCUUCAUUAAUCAAGAACGAAAGUCAGAGGUUCGAAGG